AGGUAAGCUACUAAGAGCGAAUGGUGGAUGCCUUGACUGGUAAAGGCGAUGAAGGACGUACUAGACUGCGAUAAGCUACGGGGAGCUGUCAAGAAGCUUUGAUCCGUAGAUUUCCGAAUGGGGCAACCCAAUGUAUAGAGAUAUACAUUACCUAUAUAGGAGCGAACGAGGGGAAUUGAAACAUCUUAGUACCCUCAGGAAAAGAAAUCAAUAGAGAUUGCGUCAGUAGCGGCGAGCGAAAGCGCAAGAGGGCAAACCCAGUGCUUGCACUGGGGGUUGUAGGACUGCAAUGUGCAAGAGGUAAGUUUAGCAGAACAUUCUGGAAAGUAUAACCAUAGAGGGUGAUAGUCCCGUAUGCGAAAAACAAACCUUAGCUAGCAGUAUCCUGAGUAGGGCGGGACACGAGGAAUCCUGUCUGAAUCCGGGUCGACCACGAUCCAACCCUAAAUACUAAUACCAGAUCGAUAGUGCACAAGUACCGUGAGGGAAAGGUGAAAAGAACUGAGGUGAUCAGAGUGAAAUAGAACCUGAAACCAUUUGCUUACAAUCAUUCAGAGCCCUAUGUAGCAAUACAGGGUGAUGGACUGCCUUUUGCAUAAUGAGCCUGCGAGUUGUGGUGUCUGGCAAGGUUAAGCAAACGCGAAGCCGUAGCGAAAGCGAGUCUGAAUAGGGCGCUUAGUCAGAUGCUGCAGACCCGAAACGAAGUGAUCUAUCCAUGAGCAAGUUGAAGCUAGUGUAAGAACUAGUGGAGGACUGAACCCAUAGGCGUUGAAAAGCCCCGGGAUGACUUGUGGAUAGGGGUGAAAGGCCAAUCAAACUUCGUGAUAGCUGGUUCUCUCCGAAAUAUAUUUAGGUAUAGCGUUGUGUCGUAAUAUAAGGGGGUAGAGCACUGAAUGGGCUAGGGCAUACACCAAUGUACCAAACCCUAUCAAACUCCGAAUACCUUAUAUGUAAUCACAGCAGUCAGGCGGCGAGUGAUAAAAUCCGUCGUCAAGAGGGAAACAACCCAGACUACCAGCUAAGGUCCCUAAAUCUUACUUAAGUGGAAAACGAUGUGAAGUUACUUAAACAACCAGGAGGUUGGCUUAGAAGCAGCCAUCCUUUAAAGAAAGCGUAAUAGCUCACUGGUCUAGUGAUUUUGCGCGGAAAAUAUAACGGGGCUAAAGUAAGUACCGAAGCUGUAGACUUAGUUUACUAAGUGGUAGGAGAGCGUUCUAUUUGCGUCGAAGGUAUACCGGUAAGGAGUGCUGGAGCGAAUAGAAGUGAGCAUGCAGGCAUGAGUAGCGAUAAUUAAUGUGAGAAUCAUUAACGCCGUAAACCCAAGGUUUCCUACGCGAUGCUCGUCAUCGUAGGGUUAGUCGGGUCCUAAGUCGAGUCCGAAAGGGGUAGACGAUGGCAAAUUGGUUAAUAUUCCAAUACCAACAUUAGUGUGCGAUGGAAGGACGCUUAGGGCUAAGGGGGCUAGCGGAUGGAAGUGCUAGUCUAAGGUCGUAGGAGGUUAUACAGGCAAAUCCGUAUAACAAUACUCCGAGAACUGAAAGGCUUUUUGAAGUCUUCGGAUGGAUAGAAGAACCCCUGAUGCCGUCGAGCCAAGAAAAGUUUCUAAG
Molecule: ribosomal RNA, 1607 nt
Filed under: Campylobacter jejuni
Lineage: Bacteria; Pseudomonadati; Campylobacterota; Epsilonproteobacteria; Campylobacterales; Campylobacteraceae
Description: partial 23S ribosomal RNA
Rfam family: Bacterial large subunit ribosomal RNA
Source: RNAcentral